UGGGGAAUUUUGGGCAAUGGGCGCAAGCCUGACCCAGCAACGCCGCGUGAAGGACGAAAUCCCUCCGGGAUGUAAACUUCGAAAGUCAGGAAAGAAAUCUCAGGGGCGAAUACCCCUUGAGGAUGACGGUACCUGAUAUAAGCCCCGGCUAACUACGUGCCAGCAGCCGCGGUAAUACGUAGGGGGCAAGCGUUGUUCGGAAUUACUGGGCGUAAAGGGCGCGUAGGCGGCACGGCAAGUCGGGAGUGAAAGGCCUGGGCUCAACCCAGGAACGGCUUUCGAGACUGCCGAGCUAGAGUGCGGAAGGGGCAACUGGAAUUCCCAGUGUAGCGGUGAAAUGCGUAGAUAUUGGGAAGAACACCGGAGGCGAAGGCGGGUUGCUGGGCCGACACUGACGCUGAGGCGCGAAAGCCAGGGGAGCAAACGG
Molecule: ribosomal RNA, 427 nt
Filed under: uncultured bacterium
Lineage: Bacteria
Description: bacterial SSU rRNA
Rfam family: Bacterial small subunit ribosomal RNA
Source: RNAcentral